Vespula vulgaris is the source of this 702-nucleotide long non-coding RNA. RefSeq lists it as uncharacterized. Lineage: Eukaryota; Metazoa; Arthropoda; Insecta; Hymenoptera; Vespidae. The record is from RefSeq and is a predicted model, not a curated record. The transcript is spliced from 3 exons.
CUUCGUUCGUUUUGAAGGUGUUUCUAAAGGAAGAACAAAAAAAAAGAAAAUGAAGGAAAAAAAAGAAGGUAUUACGUGAACCAAUGUGCACGUGCAAUGACAAAUGUGGACACUGAAUAUCUUCGAAGAGUUCUACUCAUUGUCAAAUAAUACGCACACGAUAUGCGAUGCGCACAAUAGUCGAAGGGGUCUCUCUGAUCUCGAAGAUCAGAAUGAAGAGCCGACAUAUCACCACCAGCAUGUUCACCUAAUCUUCGAAUCGUUUCUGCCAAGGGUCCGCUCAAUGCUUGCAAUCUUCUCCAAGAUUGAGCGUACUGUCUUCUCACUAGUUCUAUGAUGGUACUGGUCAAUGCUAAGCCCACCAGGAUGUAUAAGCAGAAACUGUGCAAACGGAACAAGCAAUCGUCGCGGACUGAUGCAGAUUCCACAAGGAUCUUCGAUUACUUCAAACACGUCUCUCCCGAAUAAGAUCGAAUGGAACUCCAUCUCUUCGGUUUUAUCUACCAAUUCAAUUUACCCGCCACUCCAAGCGUCAUCUAACGACGAAGCGUUCAAACUAAUUUUCUCUUUUUUCUUUGUUUUCUUUCUUUCUUUUUUUUUUUUUUUCAUUUAUUUUAUAUCAAUUAUAAACUAUUAUCGCGUAACAAGAGACAUAUUGUAAAUGAUUAGUAUUAAAUAAAAGUUUCUUCGAUCAUUUUUAAA